Non-coding RNA from Canis lupus familiaris (dog), 84 nucleotides. The record is from Rfam. NCBI's taxonomy places the organism in Eukaryota, Metazoa, Chordata, Mammalia, Carnivora, Canidae.
CAGUGCAGUCACCCAUAAAGUAGAAAGCACUACUAACAGCACUGGAGGGUGUAGUGUUUCCUACUUUAUGGAUGAGUGUACUGU